UAAGGAAUAUUGGACAAUGCCCGCAAGGGUGAUCCAGCCAUGCCGCGUGCAGGAAGAAGGCGCUAUGCGUCGUAAACUGCUUUUACACCAGAGAAAACCCUCCUUCGUGAAGGGGGCUGAUAGUACGGUGAGAAUAAGCAUCGGCUAACUUCGUGCCAGCAGCCGCGGUAAGACGAAGGAUGCAAGCGUUAUCCGGAUUCAUUGGGUUUAAAGGGAGCGUAGGCGGCCUUAUAAGUCAGUGGUGAAAUCUCUCGGCUUAACCGAGAAAUUGCCAUUGAUACUGUAGGGCUUGAGUACAGUUGCCGUUGGCGGAAUAUGACAUGUAGUGGUGAAAUACAUAGAGAUGUCAUAGAACACCGAUUGCGAAGGCAGCUAACGAAGCUGUAACUGACGCUGAGGCUCGAAAGUGCGGGGAUCAAACA
Molecule: ribosomal RNA, 422 nt
Filed under: uncultured bacterium
Lineage: Bacteria
Description: bacterial SSU rRNA
Rfam family: Bacterial small subunit ribosomal RNA
Source: RNAcentral